This 301-nucleotide ribosomal RNA is filed under the name uncultured bacterium. Its description in RNAcentral is "partial 16S ribosomal RNA". It matches the Rfam family "Bacterial small subunit ribosomal RNA", at positions 509 to 807 of the family's 1533-position model. The record is from RNAcentral.
CAGUAGCCGCGGGAAUACGGAGGGUGCAAGCGUUAUCCGGAUUUAUUGGGUUUAAAGGGUCCGUAGGCGGACUUAUAAGUCAGUGGUGAAAGCCUGUCGCUUAACGAUAGAACUGCCAUUGAUACUGUAAGUCUUGAGUAUAUUUGAGGUAGCUGGAAUAAGUAGUGUAGCGGUGAAAUGCAUAGAUAUUACUUAGAACACCAAUUGCGAAGGCAGGUUACCAAGAUAUAACUGACGCUGAGGGACGAAAGCGUGGGUAGCGAACAGGAUUAGAGACCCGAGUAGUCCCUGUCUCUUAUAC